CAGCCCUCCUGUAGAGCAGAGAUGAUGUGGUUGCUAAGGAACGAGGCUCUGCUAAGGAGCUGAAAUAUUGAUGAAGCCACUGCAGAGAUUGGACCUGACAGCAGCCCUGAAUUAUUGACCAGCCCUGCAGCCGACAGGAUUGUGCUGGAGGUGGAGAGUCAGAACAGGGUCUGACGCGUGGUGCCACUCGCUACUUCUGGAAAACAUGGCACUUUCUCUGCACUCCCACUUCCCCAAGAACAAAGCUGAAUCCUGGAUGUGGCUGGGACAACUGCAAGACCCAGGAAUGUAAUCCUCCGGGGCAGAGACGCUGUCCAUCUUGCCACUGCUGUUUCCCUACCUGGAGAACAGUAUCUGGAAUCUGGGGGACCUUCAGUGUUUGCUGCUGGACGGAUGGGAGGGGCAGCUCUAUCGGCCUCACCAUGCUACUGUCAAAAGUGUUCCUUCCCGUAUCUCCUCCUUUCAUUCCUUCACCUCAGAAAUGCACAACCUCCCUUCAACGAACACCAAUC
This is a long non-coding RNA of Orcinus orca (killer whale), 512 nucleotides long. RefSeq lists it as uncharacterized. The transcript has 4 exons. The record is from RefSeq and is a predicted model, not a curated record. Lineage: Eukaryota; Metazoa; Chordata; Mammalia; Artiodactyla; Delphinidae.